UACAGAGGUCCCAAGCGUUGUUCGGAUUCACUGGGCGUAAAGGGUGCGUAGGUGGCGAGGUAAGUCGGAUGUGAAAGCUCGGAGCUCAACUCCGAAAUGGCAUUGGAAACUACCUUGCUCGAGGGAUGGAGGGGGGACUGGAAUUCUCGGUGUAGCAGUGAAAUGCGUAGAUAUCAAGAGGAACACCAGUGGCGAAGGCGAGUCCCUGGACAACACCUGACACUGAGGCACGAAAGCUAGGGGAGCAAACAGG
RNAcentral lists this ribosomal RNA (253 nucleotides) under uncultured bacterium. Its description in RNAcentral is "partial 16S ribosomal RNA". It matches the Rfam family "Bacterial small subunit ribosomal RNA", at positions 524 to 776 of the family's 1533-position model. The record is from RNAcentral.